AUGCUUCAGCAACAUAUUAACUAGAACUGGAAUAACUCAAAAAAGACUAACCUGGCCCUGUGCAAGGAAGACAUGCAAAUUCAUGAAGGGUUCCAUAUUUUG
Small nuclear RNA from Trichechus manatus latirostris (Florida manatee), 102 nucleotides. The record is from RefSeq and is a predicted model, not a curated record. Lineage: Eukaryota; Metazoa; Chordata; Mammalia; Sirenia; Trichechidae.